RNAcentral lists this ribosomal RNA (253 nucleotides) under uncultured bacterium. Its description in RNAcentral is "partial 16S ribosomal RNA". It matches the Rfam family "Bacterial small subunit ribosomal RNA", at positions 524 to 776 of the family's 1533-position model. The record is from RNAcentral.
GACGUAGGGGGCCAGCGUUGUUCGGAAUUACUGGGUGUAAAGGGUUCGUAGGCGGUGUGGCAAGUCGGGAGUGAAAUCUCUGGGCUCAACCCAGAGACUUCUUCCGAAACUGCUGUGCUUGAGUGUGAGAGAGGCUCGUGGAAUUGCAGGUGUAGCGGUGAAAUGCGUAGAUAUCUGCAGGAACACCCGUGGCGAAAGCGGCGAGCUGGAUCACUACUGACGCUGAGGAACGAAAGCUAGGGGAGCAAACAGG